This 1111-nucleotide long non-coding RNA is filed under the name Gallus gallus (chicken). The record is from RNAcentral. Lineage: Eukaryota; Metazoa; Chordata; Aves; Galliformes; Phasianidae.
CCCGCCCCCGCCCGCCUCCUGCUCCUUGCGCGGCGCUGCCUGCGCGCUGCUGGUUGAGCUGCGCAGCUGUGCGCAGCGCGGAGUUUGCUUUGUGCCCGCGGUCGCGGCAGGACGGCCCGCAGAAUCAUAGAAUAAUUAAGGUUGGAAAAGACCACUAAUAUCAUCCAGUCCAACCGUGAACUCAUCACCGCCAUGCUCACUAGAUCGUGUCCCUCAGUUCCACAUCUAAAGGGAUGGUGACUCCACCACCUUCCUGGGCAGCCUGUUCAAAUCACCACUAUUCCUGAGAAGAAAUUUUUCCUAAUAUCCAACCUGAACAUCCCCUGACGCAACCUGAGGCCAUCACAUCUUAUCCUGUCACUGUUACCUGGGAAGAGAGGCCAACCUCCACCUCACCACAAUCUCCUUUCAGGUAGUUGUAGAGAACGAUAAGGUCUCCAAGGUUUCAGAACUAUAGGCUGAACCAAUAGCAGUGGGAUACAGCUUCACUGUAACCUGUGAAAUAAUUUAAGUACCAUCAUUUGUGAGAGAACUAUGCUAGCCACAUGUGAUCAGACUGCAUGCUGGCACGUGCAGCAGUCACUGGGGGGAAAGUGUACUGGCAUGGCUGAGCAUUUUUAUGUUGAAACCUUUAUACUUUCUCAGCACGGGACGGUAAAAAGUGAAAUCUAAGUAGUUUUAAUUAAUCCAUGCUGCAAAUGAUGACUGGCUUGGCUUGAAAUCCUAUCCACUUCCUCACUACUCCUGAAUGUAGGUGAGCAAUUUGUCUGCAGGAUAGUGCAAGCCAAGAACGUAGUUCUGGAGGCUGUGAUGGUUGUCCCAGGCUGGGCUUCUUGGAGUGAGGACGGUAUCGGGAAACAGAGCGUCUCUCUGAGCCUGCUCCUCCUGCCUGGCAGCAGCACGGCAGCCUCCUGCUCCAUGUCAGCCUAAUCCGGUGAGGAGCCUGGGGGCUGUGCGCUGCCAAGAGGCCUGUCAGCGUCUGACUUCUCGCCAGUGCUGUGAGGCGGUUUGGCGUUGGAGAGUGGGGAGAUGCUGGAAACGAGAAAAUCGUGAAUGCUUACAUGGUUCUGCCAUCAGCAUCGUCAUUACUAUUAUUUAUUAGUGGCUGCAC